UUAUGCAAAACACAUGGAAAAGUACAGGGACAAAUGGAAAAUAUCUGACUUCAAUGUCCUACUCUUUCUCUUCAGAAAAUGCUAUUAAGACUAUAAGAAAUAAUAUAUGUAUAAAUAGUAUGUAUUAUACAUAGAUUUUCAAUUAUUAUAGUUAAUGUAAAGACAUUUUCUGAAAACAAGUAUCUAGUUCCCUUUCAAGGGAACUUCGAACUGCGUCCUCUAGGGGUCGCUAUGGGGAAUGCCUCGUCGUGACCCAUGUCUGAAGCAUACAAUGGAAAAACACCAACACUGGAGACAGCCCCUGACGUCACUACCGGUGCGACUAUAGAAUUAAUAGGCACCGGGAGAACACGUCAUACUCUUCUUCAUCUUCACUAACUGUUCUAUUUGAAGCGUGCAUUUAAAACGUGGUAAGAGCGAUCUUUUUAAUCAAUCAUGGCGAGUACUAGCAAAGCGGUUAAACAGUGUGUGCAUCCGUGUCAUCAUUAUUUGACACCUGAUGACACACACAAUCUUUGCGUUGCUUGUUUGUGGGAAGAGCACGCACGCGAUGUCCUUGAGGGAGCAAAUUGCGUGCAUUGUGAGCAUUUUUCAAUGAAAAAGCUCUGUGCUUUUUCUCGUUUGUCUCUCUUUUCAAGUAAGGAGUGGCAGCCACCUGCUUCCCGUGGUUCAGGACCCACCACUGCUGAGGCACGGAGGAGAAUGAGCUCAUGGGGAUCACAGGUGGAUCUGGCUGCGGAGUUUAAAAAGGGACUUUCCCUUUCGCGCUUGUCGGCGGAGGAGGAGAGAGAGCCGCUGGAGUAUGAUGUUAUUUCCUUAACACUUUCCGAUCCAGAGGCUAGUGCUCUGCUGGGUUCGGCCCAGGAAGCAUGCUAGCAAGGUGAUGCCACAAGGUCAUCUCGACGAGCGUUAUUUUUCUGACCAUAGCCCUCCAUCUCAGGUGAGCCUUCAAUUUCUGCCUGAUCUCCAUACAGAGAUUGAUAAGGAAUGGAAGAGGCUUUUCUUCUCGCAUUCCAUCGGUUUCAGCAUACGAGUUAUGCCAACAUCGAGGCGAUGCGCGAAAGCAGCUAUGAGAGGAUGCCCCCUGUAGAAGAGACGCUGGCUAGCUAUCUCUCUGUGGGGGAGACGUCCUCUCUUAAAUCUCCCUCCUUCCCAUCUAAGCCCCUUUAGGAUACAUCUCACUUAAAUGGCAAGGCAUACGCAGCAGCAGGUCAGGCUGUGGCUUUAUUGCACACGAUGGUGGUGCUUCAAGCAUAUCAGGGCCUUUCUCCUGAUCAGGUAGCUGAGCUGCGCUGCACCACAGAUCUCUCUCUCUGUGCUACCAAGCAGGCCGCCUCCGCCAUGGGCAGGUCUAUUGUGGCCAUGGUGGUAACGGAGAGACAUCUGUGGGUGAACCUGGCAGAUAUCAGGAAGAAAAAAAGGGGCUUUCUUCUCGAUGCUCUGGUUUCGUCUUCCAAACUUUUCGGUACCACCGUUGAGACGGUGGUCGAGAAGUUCAGGGAGGCGAAGGCACGCUCGGUGGCCUUCAAAUCCUUCAUUCCCCGAAGGUCCAGGUCUGAACCUGAACAACAUAGGGGUCCUGGUCCGUCUUGGUCUGAGGAUCAGAGAUAGGCCAGGUCAUAGGCUUCUGCGGGAGCCUUCUUGAUCAUCAGGCCCCGGCACGGCACUGCAAAAAAAUUUCCUGGAUGUCCACUUAGGUCACCCUGAGGGGCUUCCUGGUCACCUGGAUAUCCCUUCUUGCUGACAUAUCGAGUGGAAAAUAUAGGUGGCAUUUGCGAUAAUCUGCUUGUAUAAUGCUGUCUCAGGCAGUGCUCCCCUCUCCAGAGGAUUGUAAAUUUGAGCUUACCUCUCCUGUGUGGUUGGGCACCUGUGCGAUGCUUAGGAAGCUUUAAGUACACAUGCUAAGCUCUGUGUACUUUCUGAAAUCCAUAUGGUGGUAAGUGUGCACGUUGAACACUUUGCACACUUUCUAAAAAUCCACGUAAUUGGUAAGUGUGCACGCUAGCACUUUGCGCACUUUCUAAAAUCCACAUAAGUGGUAAGUGUGCACGCAAGAUUCCGCGCACUUUCUGAAAUCCUGUACAUUAAGGGUUACGCGCUCAGCUUCAUUCCCUUUCUUCGAGUUGGUUAGACCUUGGUUCCUUGGGCUCCACUCAACCAGUGUGUCUUUAUUAAUACACUUCAAGCAUCACUUCCCUCAACAUGAAGGGCUAUUGUGGGCAUGCCGCUUCCCCUUAAGCGCCCGAGUUCUCUCCCCUUCUGAGGAACUGAAUUCCUUGCUCCGUGGGCUGUUCUCGUGGUAGUUAACAGCACUCCCCUUUACCAAAAAGGGUCGCCUAUGAGCGUGAUACUCUCUUUCUGAAUUCGGAGUUUUCCUCUCAUGUAAGAAUUGAGCUCUCUGUUUUCCCCUAGAGCACCUGGCAACCAGCAGCAUCUGGUUAACUGGGCAAUUCCUUCGCCUCUAUGAUGCGCUGAGGUCAGUUUGUAGGUCGACCCCCCCCCCCCCCUU
Cyprinus carpio carpio is the source of this 2509-nucleotide long non-coding RNA. The record is from Ensembl. Lineage: Eukaryota; Metazoa; Chordata; Actinopteri; Cypriniformes; Cyprinidae.